UACGGAGGAUGCGAGCGUUAUCCGGAUUUAUUGGGUUUAAAGGGUUCGUAGGCGGCUUUUUAAGUCAGCGGUGAAAUUUUGCAGCUUAACUGUAACAGUGCCGUUGAUACUGGGGAGCUAGGAUUUGGUUGCUGUGGGUGGAAUGUGUGGUGUAGCGGUGAAAUGCUUAGAGAUCACACAGAAUAUCGAUUGCGAAGGCAGCUCACAAAGCCAAGAUUGACGCUGAGGCACGAAAGUGUGGGGAUCAAACAGGAUUAGA
RNAcentral lists this ribosomal RNA (259 nucleotides) under uncultured prokaryote. RNAcentral's name for it is "partial 16S ribosomal RNA". It matches the Rfam family "Bacterial small subunit ribosomal RNA", at positions 524 to 782 of the family's 1533-position model. The record is from RNAcentral.